GAGUUUGAUCGUGGCUCAGGAUGAACGCUGGCGGCGUGCCUAAUACAUGCAAGUCGAGCGGAAAGGUUCUGCACUUAUUAUUUGAACGGAAUAAGUCUACCUCGGUAGAUACUAGUCGAAAACGUAUUUCAUUGGCUAAUGAAUGCGGUCGAAUAAUGGGUGUAGAAUACUCGAGCGGCGGACGGCUGAGUAACACGUAGGAACGUACCCCAAAGUGAGGGAUAACUGCUCGAAAGAGUAGCUAAUACCGCAUGUGAUCUCCGGAUUAAAGCCUUCGGGCGCUAUGGGAACGGCCUGCGUAUGAUUAGUUAGUUGGUGAGGUAAUGGCUCACCAAGACGAUGAUCAUUAGCUGGUCUGAGAGGAUGAUCAGCCAGACUGGGACUGAGAACGGCCCAGACUCCUACGGGAGGCAGCAGUAGGGAAUUUUCCACAAUGGGCGAAAGCCUGAUGGAGCAACGCCGCGUGCAGGAU
Molecule: ribosomal RNA, 472 nt
Filed under: uncultured bacterium
Lineage: Bacteria
Description: bacterial SSU rRNA
Rfam family: Bacterial small subunit ribosomal RNA
Source: RNAcentral